Molecule: ribosomal RNA, 1444 nt
Filed under: Klebsiella variicola
Lineage: Bacteria; Pseudomonadati; Pseudomonadota; Gammaproteobacteria; Enterobacterales; Enterobacteriaceae
Description: bacterial SSU rRNA
Rfam family: Bacterial small subunit ribosomal RNA
Source: RNAcentral
CCUGGCUCAGAUUGAACGCUGGCGGCAGGCCUAACACAUGCAAGUCGAGCGGUAGCACAGAGAGCUUGCUCUCGGGUGACGAGCGGCGGACGGGUGAGUAAUGUCUGGGAAACUGCCUGAUGGAGGGGGAUAACUACUGGAAACGGUAGCUAAUACCGCAUAACGUCGCAAGACCAAAGUGGGGGACCUUCGGGCCUCAUGCCAUCAGAUGUGCCCAGAUGGGAUUAGCUAGUAGGUGGGGUAACGGCUCACCUAGGCGACGAUCCCUAGCUGGUCUGAGAGGAUGACCAGCCACACUGGAACUGAGACACGGUCCAGACUCCUACGGGAGGCAGCAGUGGGGAAUAUUGCACAAUGGGCGCAAGCCUGAUGCAGCCAUGCCGCGUGUGUGAAGAAGGCCUUCGGGUUGUAAAGCACUUUCAGCGGGGAGGAAGGCGGUGAGGUUAAUAACCUCAUCGAUUGACGUUACCCGCAGAAGAAGCACCGGCUAACUCCGUGCCAGCAGCCGCGGUAAUACGGAGGGUGCAAGCGUUAAUCGGAAUUACUGGGCGUAAAGCGCACGCAGGCGGUCUGUCAAGUCGGAUGUGAAAUCCCCGGGCUCAACCUGGGAACUGCAUUCGAAACUGGCAGGCUAGAGUCUUGUAGAGGGGGGUAGAAUUCCAGGUGUAGCGGUGAAAUGCGUAGAGAUCUGGAGGAAUACCGGUGGCGAAGGCGGCCCCCUGGACAAAGACUGACGCUCAGGUGCGAAAGCGUGGGGAGCAAACAGGAUUAGAUACCCUGGUAGUCCACGCUGUAAACGAUGUCGAUUUGGAGGUUGUGCCCUUGAGGCGUGGCUUCCGGAGCUAACGCGUUAAAUCGACCGCCUGGGGAGUACGGCCGCAAGGUUAAAACUCAAAUGAAUUGACGGGGGCCCGCACAAGCGGUGGAGCAUGUGGUUUAAUUCGAUGCAACGCGAAGAACCUUACCUGGUCUUGACAUCCACAGAACUUUCCAGAGAUGGAUUGGUGCCUUCGGGAACUGUGAGACAGGUGCUGCAUGGCUGUCGUCAGCUCGUGUUGUGAAAUGUUGGGUUAAGUCCCGCAACGAGCGCAACCCUUAUCCUUUGUUGCCAGCGGUUAGGCCGGGAACUCAAAGGAGACUGCCAGUGAUAAACUGGAGGAAGGUGGGGAUGACGUCAAGUCAUCAUGGCCCUUACGACCAGGGCUACACACGUGCUACAAUGGCAUAUACAAAGAGAAGCGACCUCGCGAGAGCAAGCGGACCUCAUAAAGUAUGUCGUAGUCCGGAUUGGAGUCUGCAACUCGACUCCAUGAAGUCGGAAUCGCUAGUAAUCGUAGAUCAGAAUGCUACGGUGAAUACGUUCCCGGGCCUUGUACACACCGCCCGUCACACCAUGGGAGUGGGUUGCAAAAGAAGUAGGUAGCUUAACCUUCGGGAGGGCGCU